Molecule: long non-coding RNA, 1366 nt
Organism: Carassius gibelio (silver crucian carp)
Lineage: Eukaryota; Metazoa; Chordata; Actinopteri; Cypriniformes; Cyprinidae
Exons: 2
Source: RefSeq, a predicted model, not a curated record
GAAAAUAACAUGAAUAUGACAGUGGGCAAAUGCAUAAAGUGCAGCAUAAUUUGAAAUCACGAGUUUAAAAUCAUGUCACAAGAUCUCACAGCUGGAUUCGACUAAGUUUGCAAGAUUUGUGAAAUUAAAUGUUCAUUAGUCAUUCAAAGAUUUUACUAAUAAUAUCAAAUCAAUCAUUAUAAUAUCUGUAUACAGACUUAUAUCCUUGUAAGACAGAACUGUUAAUGAUGACAGUGAACAAGAGGGAGAAUGUGAGAACUGUGUGCGCUCAGACGCUGCCGCUCUCAGCGCCAUCAAAAUAAAAGUCCUGCCUCGAAUACAUCGGCCAAGCAGAAAAACUUAUCAGCAGAUGCUGAUAUCUGCUAAAUGACAAAUAUCGGCUUUGCCGAUAUAUCGGUCAACCCCUAAUAGUCACCUCAUUUAACCUAUUCAGUUUUGAUUCCCUGAACUGAAUGUUUGGUCAGGCCCUAUUCACACUGCAGCUUAAUUAAGUCACUCCCCUUUGGAGCACUUAACCCAGUUCUAUUCACACACAGAAACUGGUUAUGCGUUUGAAAACCAAAUUCACUCUUGAAAAAAAAUAUUUGCUGAUAUCAACCUGUCACAUUACCACCAUGCCGAAAUUAGGAGUGACUCCUGUAUUCACACGCAAUAAUGUAAUGGGUUCAUUUGUUGGCAUCCAUAUUUCUUAUCUACAGCCAUAUUACCACCAUGUUAACCAUCACAAGAUCAGGAGUGAAUCCUGAAUUUAUACACAAAGUGAAUGCUAAUUUAGAUGGACUCAGUCCUGGUUGUCUAUCCCAAAUGUGGCCAUACUGAGCCCAAUGAUGUGUGUCAGUUCCAGUCACAUUUUACAAUAUUACAUGGGUUCAUUGUGAAUGAAUAAGAGCUAAAGAGACUUUAAGUGCAUCUGCGAUUAAGACUGGUGAUAAAUCGAUGAAGCAAAGCAAGCGCACAGAUCACACAGUGUAUCAUGUGAUCAGGAUGACUCUGAGCGUGAAAUGUUAAUUCAGGGAACCCAGAAAAUGAAAGGAAAUCACAAGAGGAAUCGCUGCUUCUAAACUUCAAUCCCGAUCCCAAAAGACCCAUCAAAGGACAGAGAGAAAGGACAGCGUACCCGACGAGGAGUCGGAGGAUUUUAGAGCAAAAGACCAACCAUCAGGGGUCAUAGAUGCACAGUGUGGUAGACGUAGUUCCACGGGCUUCAGGAACUUCAGACCGUGAGGGCCGCACAUCACCAGAGGACUGAGCAGAGUUUCACCUGGAAGAGCAGACAGGCUGCAAUAAGCUUCAGGAGCAUCAGUGUGUCAUUAAUUCAACAACUAUACCAUCAUUAAAGAAGAACAAUUAUUAUUAUUACAAUCAA